This 85-nucleotide transfer RNA is filed under the name Bacteroidota bacterium. RNAcentral describes it as "tRNA-Ser". It matches the Rfam family "tRNA". From Rfam's summary of the family: Transfer RNA (tRNA) molecules are approximately 80 nucleotides in length. RNAcentral also lists the same sequence under 2 other names. Lineage: Bacteria; Pseudomonadati; Bacteroidota. The record is from RNAcentral.
GGAGAAUUGGCAGAGUGGUCGAUUGCGGCAGUCUUGAAAACUGUUGUACCGAGAGGUACCGUAGGUUCGAAUCCUACAUUCUCCG